Molecule: ribosomal RNA, 650 nt
Filed under: Phytophthora colocasiae
Lineage: Eukaryota; Oomycota; Peronosporomycetes; Peronosporales; Peronosporaceae
Description: eukaryotic LSU rRNA
Rfam family: Eukaryotic large subunit ribosomal RNA
Source: RNAcentral
GAGUGAAGCGGGAGAGCUCAAGCUUAAAAUCUCCGUGCAAGUUUUGUGCGGCGAAUUGUAGUCUAUAGAGGCGUGGUCAGCGUGGGCGCUUGGGGCAAGUUCCUUGGAAGAGGGACAGCAUGGAGGGUGAUACUCCCGUUCAUCCCUGAGUGGCUCGUGCGUACGACCCGUUUUCUUUGAGUCGCGUUGUUUGGGAAUGCAGCGCAAAGUAGGUGGUAAAUUCCAUCUAAAGCUAAAUAUUGGUGCGAGACCGAUAGCGAACAAGUACCGUGAGGGAAAGAUGAAAAGAACUUUGAAAAGAGAGUUAAAGAGUACCUGAAACUGCUGAAAGGGAACCGAAUCGUUUCCAGUGUCUAUAAUCUGUGGCAUAUUUCAUUGGCGAGCGUUUGCGUGCGUGUGCUGUGGCAGUGGCUUUUUUGGCUGCGCCUGGUGUGUGUGGUGUGAGUGUUUGCUGGUGCCCUGUGCUGCGGUGGGACGUCAAGGUCAGUUCGUAUGCUGCGGGAAAUGGCUGCCGAGGAGGUAGGGCUUACGCUCCGCGUUUGUCUGUUAUAUCUUGGUGGACGAGUCGUCGCGGUUGGGACUGAGGUGCCUACAACGUGCUUUUGAGUGGGUUUGUGUCUCCGUGUGCGCCGUGUGCGGAUAGCUUGCUA